GGGGAAUAUUGGACAAUGGGGGAAACCCUGAUCCAGCGACGCCGCGUGGGUGAAGAAGGCCUGCGGGUUGUAAAGCCCUUUCGGUGGGGAAGAAAAGCCUCGACCUAACACGUCGGGGUGUUGACGUAACCCACAAAAGAAGCACCGGCUAACUCUGUGCCAGCAGCCGCGGUAAUACAGAGGGUGCGAGCGUUAAUCGGAAUUACUGGGCGUAAAGCGCACGUAGGCGGCUUAGCAAGUCGGGUGUGAAAUCCCCGGGCUCAACCUGGGAACUGCAUUCGAGACUGCUUUGCUUGAGUAUGGGAGAGGGAGGCGGAAUUUCCGGUGUAGCGGUGAAAUGCGUAGAUAUCGGAAGGAACAUCAGUGGCGAAAGCGGCCUCCUGGACCAAUACUGACGCUCAUGUGCGAAAGCGUGGGGAGCAAAC
RNAcentral lists this ribosomal RNA (425 nucleotides) under uncultured bacterium. Its description in RNAcentral is "bacterial SSU rRNA". It matches the Rfam family "Bacterial small subunit ribosomal RNA", at positions 356 to 773 of the family's 1533-position model. The record is from RNAcentral.